Molecule: long non-coding RNA, 2647 nt
Organism: Bombus pyrosoma
Lineage: Eukaryota; Metazoa; Arthropoda; Insecta; Hymenoptera; Apidae
Exons: 9
Source: RefSeq, a predicted model, not a curated record
GGAUAAUCGAAGCGAUUAGAUGUGUGCCCGUGUAUGUUUACGAUUAGUGCCGAUCUUUCUACUACGCAGUAUUAGAGAGGGACGCCAUGAAAUUCAAACGGACGCCAUGAUUGAUGAUGACUACGAUGCCUUUUGUGGAUAUUUGAUUUCUUCCAGUCUUCGUCUCUUGCGUGGGAUGCGGUGAUUCCUGUUUACUGACAGUCUUCAUUAUGACAUCUCCUGAACCACAACAACAUCGAUGAUAACGUUCUUCGCGUUUAAUGCUGGGCAAAUGAAACCAUUAUAACUUGAGCUAAACCAUAAUAAAAUAUCGGGAAACAGAGGGAAACGGAAGGUGGCGCGCAAAAAAAGAGAGAAUACCAUUAAUAAACAACGAAUCGAGGAAAACCCAUAACGGGAGAAAUCGUUCCGGUGGCUCGCGUGCAACUGCUGAUAAAGGAGUUUCGCAGGAGAACGAAGCGCGAAGGAAGGCCGCGAAUUAAUCGCCGGAUCGUGUGUCGACUUCCAGCGGAGGAUAUUCGUUUCGCGGGCAACAAGGUAAACCAGAGAACCGGCUAAAAUAUCCGGUGCAAUAUUUAGAUUACAAGCCUGAUCCGGCAGGGAACUUUUCAUUCGGCUGACAUAACGCAUUAACCAGAGCGAAUCAACGCUGAAAAUUAGUCUCUGUCCACUUGACGAAAGACCACGAGUUUCUGUUUCAUUUUAUAGUUCGCGCGAUUGCCUUUUGAUUUGUUGUAAGUUCGCUGAUUAACGUUUAUCGAUGUCUCCGUAUAACAGAAAUUUUCGGCGUGAAAAGCUACAUUCCCGCGAUUUUUAUUCGCUGUUUAUGCUCUAAUAGGGGAAAGGCGCUGUGAAAUCUUGAUGUAAAAUCUGUCACUAUCGAAUCUCUGUUCUUCGUAUAAUAGUAGUAUCUUUUAAUAGAAAGAACCAUCUGCUAUUACCAAAUAUCCUGUUCGAAUAAAAGAAUAUCCGGAUAAGCACAAUAUUUCAAUAUCAAAGUAUAUAUGUAUUCGAAUAAUGGAUAACGAAUUUUGGAUGCCGGAUGCUCUAUCGUAUUUCUAUCCAAGGAAAUCGGGUGGUGGCACCUUCGUCACGAGUAAAAUAAGAAACGAUGCCGUGACAGGUUCAACUGACGAAGCAACGACCUUCUUUCGUUGGACAACCCGCCGUCUGGGCCGCUUCCACGGACUAAUUUAAAACGCGGCAGGAAAAUGGUUUCUUACUACCGUGGCGGCUCACUCGAGCACGAUCCUGUUUCAAUUAGAAGAAUAGUUCUGGCAAACGCUGUAUCCCGUGAUCGUAACUGACAUGGCUGUUAUUAAAUGCAAUAUGUCGUGGCAAGGACGUUGAAGAAAAUAAUACGGAUAGCAGAAAGGAUUAAUUUGGUGGAAUGCGACAGGAAUAGUAAGGUUUGAUCGCAAACACAUCGCUUUGAAGAGUUAAGCAUCCCGAGCAGGAUCAAGCGGUGUCCCAAGAUCAGCCGACAUUUCGUUAUGAUUAGACAGCAAGAGUAUUUAUGCAAAUUUACGUUAUUAUAAAUGCUACUAAACGAAUAGAACCCUACGCAGCGAUUUGUUUCGUCCACUAAAUAUUUAUAGACCUCCGAUAUUUAUGUAAUGGAAAAAUAUCUAUCGCACGAUCUUUGGAACGUGACAACGAAUGAAAAUUUCAGUUAUUUGAAAGUAUAAUGCUAGGCGAGGCGAAAUGUUGUUGACUACCACUAACCGAUUGGUAUAUAAAUCCUAUAAUAAAUACAACGAUGUACAAGCAGCUACCGUAGGUCGAAGAAGAAGAAGAAGAAAUAGCAUAUUUAUGGAGGCAACGUAUGACAUCCGAGUUAUAAGUACUGCAUGCAAUUUGUGUACAUAUAUCACCUAUAUUAAUCUACAGAACAAUGUAAGUCUCUACACAUAAAGAUUUAUACCUUCUACACCUGUACUUUUCACAUGAUCUAUGCUGGACUGUGUAAAUAAUUAUACGACCGGGAUAUUGUAUUACUAGCGCCGUCUAUUUUCUUCCUCGAAGAAUCAUGAUAUGGUGAGAUCGAACAUGAGAAACGUGUGAUUCGAAUUUUCGAUUUUAUACGAUAUAUUCUUCAUUAAGUUCUUUAGUCGAACGAACGACUAGAAUGGAUUAUUAGCGAAUUCGUUGAUAUUAUCGUCUUCGUUGACACCCGAGUAUUAGAAUUUCCCUGGUAAUUAAUUUAUCUAAUUGCAAACUUUCUUUAUAAAGAAAGAGAAAGUGCAAGAAAUGUAAAUAAUUCUUAGUAAAAGUUGUGGAGAAAUUUCGCAUGCAUGCAUAGCGAAUUCGACGGAAAUUUGUUCCAUAAUGUCGGUGUAUUCAUCGCUCUGUUCAUUACCGUCUUUUCAUACUUUCUGCGAGUUAGUUCGCGCAAAAAAGUUUAAUUUUACCAGCAAGACCCUUGUUUUCACAGCUGGAAUGAAUGUGAAACGGAAUCGCAGUGAUCUUGUAUUAGCAGAGAAAAUAUUAAAUUCCUAACAAGUUUGGCGAAAUAAAAAUUCCAGAAUAACUACUGUAUGAGAAAUCUUGUCAAGAUAUAAAGAAUUAACAAAUAUUUCUCUAUAUUCUUCUCUUAUGAUAAUACAAUUUUCUAAAUGUAUGUCGAAACAAUCGUAGUAUGUACAUU